RNAcentral lists this small RNA (30 nucleotides) under Bombyx mori (domestic silkworm). RNAcentral describes it as "ovarian small RNA-4915". Lineage: Eukaryota; Metazoa; Arthropoda; Insecta; Lepidoptera; Bombycidae. The record is from RNAcentral.
CGGGGACUGUGGGUUCGGGUCCCACCAGGG